This 440-nucleotide ribosomal RNA is filed under the name uncultured bacterium. RNAcentral describes it as "partial 16S ribosomal RNA". It matches the Rfam family "Bacterial small subunit ribosomal RNA", at positions 338 to 795 of the family's 1533-position model. The record is from RNAcentral.
CCUACGGGAGGCAGCAGUGGGGAAUAUUGCACAAUGGGGGAAACCCUGAUGCAGCGAAGUCGCGUGAGUGAAGAAGUAUCUCGGUAUGUAAAGCUCUAUCAGCAGGGAAGAAAAUGACGGUACCUGAUUAAGAAGCCCCGGCUAACUACGUGCCAGCAGCCGCGGUAAUACGUAGGGGGCAAGCGUUAUCCGGAUUUACUGGGGGUAAAGGGAGCGUAGACGGGAGCACAAGUCUGGAGGGAAAGGCCGGGGGUUAACCCCGGAACUGCUUUGGAAACUGUGCAGCUAGAGUGCAGGAGAGGUAAGUGGAAUGCCUAGUGUAGCGGUGAAAUGCGUAGAUAUUAGGAAGAACACCGGUGGCGAAGGCGGCUUACUGGACUGUAACUGACGUUGAGGCUCGAAAGCGUGGGUAGCAAACAGGAUUAGAUACCCGAGUAGUC